UACGGAAGGCAGCAGUGGGGAAUAUUGCACAAUGGGCGCAAGCCUGAUGCAGCCAUGCCGCGUGUAUGAAGAAGGCCUUCGGGUUGUAAAGUACUUUCAGUCGUGAGGAAGGUGUUAAGGUUAAUAACCUUAGCAAUUGACGUUAGCGACAGAAGAAGCACCGGCUAACUCCGUGCCAGCAGCCGCGGUAAUACGGAGGGUGCGAGCGUUAAUCGGAAUUACUGGGCGUAAAGGGCACGCAGGCGGUUAAUUAAGUUGGAUGUGAAAUCCCCGGGCUUAACCUGGGAAUGGCAUUCAAGACUGGUUAGCUAGAGUCUUGUAGAGGGGGUAGAAUUCCGAUGUGUAGCGGUGAAAUGCGUAGAGAUGUGGAGGAAUACCGGGUGGCGAAGGCGGCCCCUGGGACAAAGACUGACGCUCAUGUGCGAAAGCGUGGGGAGCGAAACAGGAUUAGAUACC
RNAcentral lists this ribosomal RNA (456 nucleotides) under uncultured bacterium. RNAcentral describes it as "bacterial SSU rRNA". It matches the Rfam family "Bacterial small subunit ribosomal RNA", at positions 340 to 786 of the family's 1533-position model. The record is from RNAcentral.